This 1248-nucleotide ribosomal RNA is filed under the name metagenome. Its description in RNAcentral is "bacterial LSU rRNA". It matches the Rfam family "Bacterial large subunit ribosomal RNA", at positions 1635 to 2875 of the family's 2925-position model. The record is from RNAcentral.
GAUACGACCGUACCGCAAACCGACACUGGUGCGCGAGAUGAGUAUUCUAAGGCGCUUGAGAGAACUCAGGAGAAGGAACUCGGCAAAUUGACACCGUAACUUCGGAAGAAGGUGUGCCCUAUUAGUGUGUAGUGAACAACGAAGCAUGAAUGGGUUGCAAAAAAUCGGUGGCUGCGACUGUUUAUUAAAAACACAGCACUCUGCAAACACGAAAGUGGACGUAUAGGGUGUGACGCCUGCCCGGUGCUGGAAGAUUAAAUGAUGGGGUGCAAGCUCUUGAUUGAAGUCCCAGUAAACGGCGGCCGUAACUAUAACGGUCCUAAGGUAGCGAAAUUCCUUGUCGGGUAAGUUCCGACCUGCACGAAUGGCGUAACGAUGGCCACACUGUCUCCUCCUGAGACUCAGCGAAGUUGAAAUGUUUGUGAUGAUGCAAUCUCCCCGCGGAAAGACGGAAAGACCCCAUGAACCUUUACUGUAGCUUUGUAUUGGACUUUGAACAGAUCUGUGUAGGAUAGGUGGGAGGCUUUGAAGCAGGGUCGCUAGAUCUUGUGGAGCCAACGUUGAAAUACCACCCUGGUGUGUUUGAGGUUCUAACCUAGGUCCAUUAUCUGGAUCGGGGACAGUGCAUGGUAGGCAGUUUGACUGGGGCGGUCUCCUCCCAAAGCGUAACGGAGGAGUUCGAAGGUACGCUAGUUACGGUCGGACAUCGUGACGAUAGUGCAAUGGCAUAAGCGUGCUUAACUGCGAGACUGACAAGUCGAGCAGAUGCGAAAGCAGGACAUAGUGAUCCGGUGGUUCUGUAUGGAAGGGCCAUCGCUCAACGGAUAAAAGGUACUCUGGGGAUAACAGGCUGAUACCGCCCAAGAGUUCAUAUCGACGGCGGUGUUUGGCACCUCGAUGUCGGCUCAUCUCAUCCUGGGGCUGUAGCCGGUCCCAAGGGUAUGGCUGUUCGCCAUUUAAAGAGGUACGUGAGCUGGGUUUAAAACGUCGUGAGACAGUUUGGUCCCUAUCUUCCGUGGGCGCUGCAGAUUUGAGGAAGCCUGCUCCUAGUACGAGAGGACCGGAGUGGACACACCUCUGGUGUAUCGGUUGUCACGCCAGUGGCAUUGCCGAGUAGCUAAGCGUGGAAGAGAUAACCGCUGAAAGCAUCUAAGCGGGAAACUCGUUUCAAGAUGAGAUCUGCCGGGGCCUUGAGCCCCCUAAAGAGUCGUUCAAGACCAGGACGUUGAUAGGUCAGGUGUGGAAGUG